GGGAGCGUAGCGCAGUCGGUAGUCGCGUCAGUCUCAUAUUUUCAUAUGACUUCAUAAUCUGAGGGUAAUCUGAAGGUCGUGAGUUCGAGCCUCACCGUUCCCA
RNAcentral lists this transfer RNA (103 nucleotides) under Phaeoacremonium minimum UCRPA7. It matches the Rfam family "tRNA". From Rfam's summary of the family: Transfer RNA (tRNA) molecules are approximately 80 nucleotides in length. Lineage: Eukaryota; Fungi; Ascomycota; Sordariomycetes; Togniniales; Togniniaceae. The record is from Rfam by way of RNAcentral.